This 1523-nucleotide ribosomal RNA is filed under the name Klebsiella sp. Its description in RNAcentral is "partial contains 16S ribosomal RNA and 16S-23S ribosomal RNA intergenic spacer". It matches the Rfam family "Bacterial small subunit ribosomal RNA". Lineage: Bacteria; Pseudomonadati; Pseudomonadota; Gammaproteobacteria; Enterobacterales; Enterobacteriaceae. The record is from RNAcentral.
GGGGUGUUGAUAAGCAUAGGGUGGCGCGGCUACCAUGCAGUCGAGCGGUAGCACAGAGAGCUUGCUCUCGGGUGACGAGCGGCGGACGGGUGAGUAAUGUCUGGGAAACUGCCUGAUGGAGGGGGAUAACUACUGGAAACGGUAGCUAAUACCGCAUAACGUCGCAAGACCAAAGUGGGGGACCUUCGGGCCUCAUGCCAUCAGAUGUGCCCAGAUGGGAUUAGCUAGUAGGUGGGGUAACGGCUCACACCUUCAAUGACAUCUCACGUGACAUGCCGUUGUGUUCUCGAUGUGGGUUAGUACGUAGCUCUGGUACGUAACCCUAGGCGUCGUGCCUGGGUGGUCAGAGCAGCAUGACAAGCAGAAUAUGAAUCGAAUCUCGUUCCAGAAUCCUACGGGAGGCAGUAGUGGGAAUAUUGGCACAACCGGAGCAAGCAUGAAUGCAGACAUGUCUGGGAUGGGUGAUGAGGGCUUACAGAUCUUUAUAGCAGCGUCAGCGGGGAGGAAGGCGAUAAAGCUUAAUAAUCUUUGUCGAUUGACGUUACCGCCAGAAGAAGCACCGGCUAACUCCGUGCCAGCAGCCGCGGUAAUACGGAGGGUGCAAGCGUUAAUCGGAAUUACUGGGCGUAAAGCGCACGCAGGCGGUCUGUCAAGUCGGAUGUGAAAUCCCCGGGCUCAACCUGGGAACUGCAUUCGAAACUGGCAGGCUAGAGUCUUGUAGAGGGGGGUAGAAUUCCAGGUGUAGCGGUGAAAUGCGUAGAGAUCUGGAGGAAUACCGGUGGCGAAGGCGGCCCCCUGGACAAAGACUGACGCUCAGGUGCGAAAGCGUGGGGAGCAAACAGGAUUAGAUACCCUGGUAGUCCACGCCGUAAACGAUGUCGAUUUGGAGGUUGUGCCCUUGAGGCGUGGCUUCCGGAGCUAACGCGUUAAAUCGACCGCCUGGGGAGUACGGCCGCAAGGUUAAAACUCAAAUGAAUUGACGGGGGCCCGCACAAGCGGUGGAGCAUGUGGUUUAAUUCGAUGCAACGCGAAGAACCUUACCUGGUCUUGACAUCCACAGAACUUUCCAGAGAUGGAUUGGUGCCUUCGGGAACUGUGAGACAGGUGCUGCAUGGCUGUCGUCAGCUCGUGUUGUGAAAUGUUGGGUUAAGUCCCGCAACGAGCGCAACCCUUAUCCUUUGUUGCCAGCGGUUCGGCCGGGAACUCAAAGGAGACUGCCAGUGAUAAACUGGAGGAAGGUGGGGAUGACGUCAAGUCAUCAUGGCCCUUACGACCAGGGCUACACACGUGCUACAAUGGCAUAUACAAAGAGAAGCGACCUCGCGAGAGCAAGCGGACCUCAUAAAGUAUGUCGUAGUCCGGAUUGGAGUCUGCAACUCGACUCCAUGAAGUCGGAAUCGCUAGUAAUCGUAGAUCAGAAUGCUACGGUGAAUACGUUCCCGGGCCUUGUACACACCGCCCGUCACACCAUGGGAGUGGGUUGCAAAAGAAGUAGGUAGCUUAACCUUCGGGAGGGCCGGCCU